This 311-nucleotide long non-coding RNA is filed under the name Salvia miltiorrhiza (redroot sage). RNAcentral's name for it is "long non-coding RNA (SMIL_LNC003981)". The record is from RNAcentral. Lineage: Eukaryota; Viridiplantae; Streptophyta; Magnoliopsida; Lamiales; Lamiaceae.
UGUCCUUGUCCUUUAUGAUUGAUUUGUUCCCAAUAUGGUGUAAUUAGUUUAAUGUUUAGAUGCAACACCUUGAUGAGCAACUCUUGACGUGAUUUGUCCGGUAGAUGCUAGGGGGAGUGUUUUCAGUGCAAUAUCCUAAUAUCUUUCUCUGUGUUGAAAUUUAUGGUUGGUUGUUGAGUUUUUGAUAGCUCUGGGUCUCUGUUCCUCUAAUGGCAUCAUUAUGAGCAUGGGAAACCACGCGAGAAUACUUUGGAUCACCUCCAAAAGUGUCAAUCUCGUGAAUUACGGCCCAUCUAUUAAGAGCGAAAAUA